RNAcentral lists this ribosomal RNA (2865 nucleotides) under hot springs metagenome. RNAcentral's name for it is "bacterial LSU rRNA". It matches the Rfam family "Bacterial large subunit ribosomal RNA". RNAcentral also lists the same sequence under 1 other name. The record is from RNAcentral.
AGCGCACACGGUGGAUGCCUUGGCGGUCAGAGGCGAUGAAGGACGUGGCAGCCUGCGAAAAGUAUCGGGGAGCUGGCAACAAGCUUUGAUCCGGUAAUGUCCGAAUGGGGAAACCCACCCGCUUGCGGGUAUCCUGCAGUGAAUACAUAGCUGCUGGAAGCGAACCUGGUGAACUGAAAUAUCUAAGUAACCAGAGGAAAAGAAAUCAACCGAGAUUCCGUAAGUAGCGACGAGCGAACGCGGACUAGCCCUUAAGCUGAUUUGGUUCUAGGAAAACGCUCUGGAAAGAGCGGCCAUAGAAGGUGAUAGCCCUGUAUCUGAAAGGGCCAUUUCAGUGAAGACGAGUAGGGCGGGGCACGUGAAACCCUGUCUGAACAUGGGGGGACCAUCCUCCAAGGCUAAAUACUACUGACCGACCGAUAGUGAACCAGUACCGUGAGGGAAAGGCGAAAAGAACCCCGGAGAGGGGAGUGAAAUAGAACCUGAAACCGUGUGCGUACAAGCAGUAGGAGCUCCGCAAGGAGUGACUGCGUACCUUUUGUAUAAUGGGUCAGCGACUUACUGUUCGUGGCAAGCUUAACCGUAUAGGGGAGGCGAAGGGAAACCGAGUCUGAUAAGGGCGCAUAGUCGCGGGCAGUAGACCCGAAACCGGGUGAUCUAGUCAUGCCCAGGGUGAAGGUGCGGUAACACGCACUGGAGGCCCGAACCCACUCCCGUUGCAAAGGUAGGGGAUGAGGUGUGAUUAGGAGUGAAAAGCUAAUCGAACCCGGAGAUAGCUGGUUCUCCUCGAAAGCUAUUUAGGUAGCGCCUCAUAUGUAUCCUCUCGGGGGUAGAGCACUGUUAUGGCUAGGGGGUCAUCGCGACUUACCAAACCAUUGCAAACUCCGAAUACCGAGACGGACUGUAUGGGAGACACACGGCGGGUGCUAACGUCCGUCGUGAAAAGGGAAACAACCCAGACCCACAGCUAAGGUCCCAAAUUUUGUGCUAAGUGGAAAACCAUGUGGAAAGGCACAGACAGCCAGGAGGUUGGCUUAGAAGCAGCCACCCUUUAAAGAAAGCGUAAUAGCUCACUGGUCGAGUCGGUCUGCGGGGAAGAUUUAACGGGGCUAAGCACAGAACCGAAGCUUGGGGUGCAUAACUUUGUUAUGCGCGGUAGAGGAGCGUUCCGUAAGCCGUUGAAGGUGGAUUGAGAAGUCUGCUGGAGGUAUCGGAAGUGCGAAUGCUGACAUGAGUAACGAUAAUGCGGGUGAAAAACCCGCACGCCGAAAGCCCAAGGUUUCCUUGCGCAACGUUAAUCGGCGCAGGGUGAGUCGGCCCCUAAGGCGAGGACGAAAGUCGUAGUCGAUGGGAAGCAGGUUAAUAUUCCUGCACCUCGCGUAAGUGCGAUGGAGGGACGGAGAAGGUUAGGUGUACCAGGCGUUGGUUGUCCUGGGGAAAGGCGGUAGGUUUGGAUCUUUGGCAAAUCCGGGAUCCUCUAAGACCGAGCACCGAGACGAGCCUUUAUGGCGAAGUCACUGAUACCACGCUUCCAGGAAAAGCUCCUAAGCUUCAGCUUACGCAGACCGUACCGUAAACCGACACAGGUGGGUAGGAUGAGAAUUCUCAGGCGCUUGAGAGAACUCGGGUGAAGGAACUAGGCAACAUGGCACCGUAACUUCGGGAGAAGGUGCACCCUUUUUGGUGGCUCGUGCGAGCUAUAGCUGAAGAGGGUCGCAGUAACCAGGCCGCUGCGACUGUUUAUCAAAAACACAGCACUCUGCAAACACGAAAGUGGACGUAUAGGGUGUGACGCCUGCCCGGUGCUGGAAGGUUAAUUGAUGGGGUCAGCCGCAAGGCGAAGCUCUUGAUCGAAGCCCCAGUAAACGGCGGCCGUAACUAUAACGGUCCUAAGGUAGCGAAAUUCCUUGUCGGGUAAGUUCCGACCUGCACGAAUGGCGUAACGACAGCGGCGCUGUCUCCACCCGAGACUCAGUGAAAUUGAAAUCGCUGUGAAGAUGCAGCGUUCCCGUGGCAAGACGGAAAGACCCCGUGAACCUUUACUAUAGCUUUACACUGAACGUUGAGUUCGUCUGUGUAGGAUAGGUGGGAGGCUAUGAAACCAUGGCGCUAGCUGUGGCGGAGCCAUCCUUGAAAUACCACCCUGUCGUGCUUGACGUUCUAACCUGGGCCCAUUAUCUGGGUCGGGGACCGUGUAUGGUGGGUAGUUUGACUGGGGCGGUCUCCUCCUAAAGAGUAACGGAGGAGCUCGAAGGUACGCUCAGCGCGGUCGGACAUCGCGCACUGUGUGCAAAGGCAUAAGCGUGCUUGACUGCAAGAUCGACGGAUCAAGCAGGUAGGAAACUAGGACUUAGUGAUCCGGUGGUUCUGUAUGGAAGGGCCAUCGCUCAACGGAUAAAAGGUACUCCGGGGAUAACAGGCUGAUACCGCCCAAGAGUUCAUAUCGACGGCGGUGUUUGGCACCUCGAUGUCGGCUCAUCACAUCCUGGGGCUGUAGUCGGUCCCAAGGGUAUGGCUGUUCGCCAUUUAAAGUGGUACGCGAGCUGGGUUCAGAACGUCGUGAGACAGUUCGGUCCCUAUCUGCCAUGGGCGUUGGAGAUUUGAGAGGGGCUGCUCCUAGUACGAGAGGACCGGAGUGGACGAACCUCUGGUGUUCCGGUUGUCACGCCAGUGGCAUUGCCGGGUAGCUAUGUUCGGAAGCGAUAACCGCUGAAAGCAUCUAAGCGGGAAGCGCGCCUCAAGAUGAGAUCUCCCGGGGCACAAGCCCCCUGAAGGAACCAUGUAGACUACGUGGUUGAUAGGUCAGGUGUGUAAGUACAGCAAUGUAUUGAGCUAACUGAUACUAAUGAUCCGUGCGGCUUGACC